UGAGGAAUAUUGGUCAAUGGGCGAGAGCCUGAACCAGCCAAGUAGCGUGCAGGAUGACGGCCCUAUGGGUUGUAAACUGCUUUUAUAUGGGAAUAAAGUGAGGGACGUGUCCCUUAUUGCAUGUACCAUAUGAAUAAUGACCGGCUAAUUCCGUGCCAGCAGCCGCGGUAAUACGGAAGGUCCAGGCGUUAUCCGGAUUUAUUGGGUUUAAAGGGAGCGUAGGCUGUUUGUUAAGCGUGUUGUGAAAUGUAAGAGCUCAACUUUUAGAUUGCAGCGAGAACUGGCAGACUUGAGUGCGCACAACGUAGGCGGAAUUCAUGGUGUAGCGGUGAAAUGCUUAGAUAUCAUGACGAACUCCGAUUGCGAAGGCAGCUUACGGGAGCGCAACUGACGCUAAAGCUCGAAGGUGCGGGUAUCGAACAGG
RNAcentral lists this ribosomal RNA (424 nucleotides) under Verrucomicrobiota bacterium. RNAcentral's name for it is "Verrucomicrobia bacterium partial 16S ribosomal RNA". It matches the Rfam family "Bacterial small subunit ribosomal RNA", at positions 355 to 776 of the family's 1533-position model. The record is from RNAcentral. Lineage: Bacteria; Pseudomonadati; Verrucomicrobiota.